RNAcentral lists this ribosomal RNA (1307 nucleotides) under metagenome. Its description in RNAcentral is "bacterial LSU rRNA". It matches the Rfam family "Bacterial large subunit ribosomal RNA", at positions 1572 to 2910 of the family's 2925-position model. The record is from RNAcentral.
UAGUCUUAUUGGAUUGAUUGGGCAGGGAAGCGGUUCCAGGAAAUAGCUCCACCGUAUAGACCGUACCCGAAACCGACACAGGUGGUCAGGUAGAGUAUACCAAGGCGCUUGAGAGAACUAUGUUGAAGGAACUCGGCAAAUUGCACGCGUAACUUCGGAAGAAGCGUGACCCCUUCGCACGCAAGUGUGGUGGGGUGGCACAGACCAGGGGGUAGCGACUGUUUAUCAAAAACACAGGGCUCUGCGAAGCCGCGAGGCGACGUAUAGGGUCUGGCGCCUGCCCGGUGCUGGAAGGCUAAGAGGAGAGGUGCAAGCUUUGAAUCGAAGCCCCAGUAAACGGCGGCCGUAACAAUAACGGUCCUAAGGUAGCGAAAUUCCUUGUCGGGUAAGUUCCGACCUGCGCGAAUGGCGUAACGACUUCCCCGCUGUCUCCAACAUAGACUCAGUGAAAUUGAAUUCCCCGUGAAGAUGCGGGGUUCCUGCGGUCAGACGGAAAGACCCCGUGCACCUUUACUAUAGCUUUACACUGGCAUUCGCCAAGGCAUGUGUAGGAUAGGUGGUAGGCUUUGAAGCUUGGACGCUAGUUUGAGUGGAGCCAUCCUUGAAAUACCACCCUUAUCUUCGUGGAUGUCUAACCGCGAUCCGUUAUCCGGGUCCGAGACAGUGUAUGGUGGGUAGUUUGACUGGGGCGGUCGCCUCCGAAAGAGUAACGGAGGCGCGCGAUGGUGGGCUCAGACCGGUCGGAAAUCGGUCGUCGAGUGCAAUGGCAUAAGCCCGCCUGACUGCGAGACUGACAAGUCGAGCAGAGACGAAAGUCGGUCAUAGUGAUCCGGUGGUCCCGCGUGGAAGGGCCAUCGCUCAACGGAUAAAAGGUACGCCGGGGAUAACAGGCUGAUGACCCCCAAGAGUCCAUAUCGACGGGGUUGUUUGGCACCUCGAUGUCGACUCAUCGCAUCCUGGGGCUGGAGCAGGUCCCAAGGGUAUGGCUGUUCGCCAUUUAAAGCGGUACGUGAGUUGGGUUCAGAACGUCGUGAGACAGUUCGGUCCCUAUCUGCCGUGGGUGUAGGAAUAUUGACAGGAUCUGUCCCUAGUACGAGAGGACCGGGAUGGACGUAUCUCUGGUGGAUCUGUUGUCCUGCCAAGGGCAUAGCAGAGUAGCUAUAUACGGAAUGGAUAACCGCUGAAGGCAUCUAAGCGGGAAACCAACCUGAAAACGAGUGUUCCCUGAGAGCCGUGGAAGACGACCACGUUGAUAGGUCGGGUGUGGAAGCAAGGCAACUUGUGAAGCUUACCGUUACUAAUAGCUC